GUAGAUGCUCAUUCCAUCUCUUAUGUUCGCCUUCGGCCUCAUAAACCCAGGAAUGAUGCAGAGCCGUUUACGGUGCUUAUCGUCCACUGACAGAUGUCGCGUUUAUACGCACGAUCUUCACGCUGCUUCAAAGCAGCUUGAGAGAUACAGCGUAUCGUCUCAUCAAACACCAUGGACAUAACGUUGAGUGAAGCACCCAAUUUGUUGUCAAACAGACCUGUUUUAACGCCUGCCCUGGUUUCAGUGCAGGCGUUUUUUU
Molecule: small RNA, 259 nt
Filed under: Klebsiella sp. BIGb0138
Lineage: Bacteria; Pseudomonadati; Pseudomonadota; Gammaproteobacteria; Enterobacterales; Enterobacteriaceae
Description: Raoultella sp. BIGb0138 GlmZ RNA activator of glmS mRNA
Rfam family: GlmZ RNA activator of glmS mRNA
About the family: This RNA was discovered in E. coli during a large scale screen. The sraJ gene was expressed in early logarithmic phase, but its level decreased with cell growth. Specific cleavage products of this RNA were found.
Source: RNAcentral